RNAcentral lists this ribosomal RNA (497 nucleotides) under uncultured bacterium. RNAcentral describes it as "partial 16S ribosomal RNA". It matches the Rfam family "Bacterial small subunit ribosomal RNA", at positions 28 to 507 of the family's 1533-position model. The record is from RNAcentral.
GAUGAACGCUGGCGGCGUGCCUAAUACAUGCAAGUCGAGCGAACAGACGAGGAGCUUGCUCCUCUGACGUUAGCGGCGGACGGGUGAGUAACACGUGGAUAACCUACCUAUAAGACUGGGAGAACUUCGGGAAACCGGAGCUAAUACCGGAUAAUAUAUUGAACCGCAUGGUUCAAUAGUGAAAGACGGUUUUGCUGUCACUUAUAGAUGGAUCCGCGCCGCAUUAGCUAGUUGGUAAGGUAACGGCUUACCAAGGCGACGAUGCGUAGCCGACCUGAGAGGAUGAUCGGCCACACUGGAACUGAGACACGGUCCAGACUCCUACGGGAGGCAGCAGUAGGGAAUCUUGCGCAAUGGGCGAAAGCCUGACGGAGCAACGCCGCGUGAGUGAUGAAGGUCUUCGGAUCGUAAAACUCUGUUAUUAGGGAAGAACAAAUGUGUAAGUAACUAUGCACGUCUUGACGGUACCUAAUCAGAAAGCCACGGCUAACUACGUG